AACGAACGCUGGCGGCAUGCCUAACACAUGCAAGUCGAACGAGACCUUCGGGUCUAGUGGCGCACGGGUGCGUAACGCGUGGGAACCUUCCCUUAGGUUCGGAAUAACUCCCCGAAAGGGGUGCUAAUACCGGUUAAUGUCUUCGGACCAAAGAUUUAUCGCCUUUGGAUGGGCCCGCGUUGGAUUAGCUAGUUGGUAGGGUAAAAGCCUACCAAGGCGACGAUCCAUAGCUGGUCUGAGAGGAUGAUCAGCCACACUGGGACUGAGACACGGCCCAGACUCCUACGGGAGGCAGCAGUGGGGGAUAUUGGACAAUGGGCGAAAGCCUGAUGCAGCAAUGCCGCGUGAGUGAUGAAGGCCUUAGGGUUGUAAAGCUCUUUUACCCGGGAUGAUAAUGACAGUACCGGGAGAAUAAGCUCCGGCUAACUCCGUG
Molecule: ribosomal RNA, 433 nt
Filed under: uncultured bacterium
Lineage: Bacteria
Description: partial 16S ribosomal RNA
Rfam family: Bacterial small subunit ribosomal RNA
Source: RNAcentral